RNAcentral lists this ribosomal RNA (374 nucleotides) under uncultured bacterium. Its description in RNAcentral is "bacterial SSU rRNA". It matches the Rfam family "Bacterial small subunit ribosomal RNA", at positions 29 to 433 of the family's 1533-position model. The record is from RNAcentral.
AAUGAACGCUGGCGGCAUGCCUAACACAUGCAAGUCGAACGAAGCCUUCGGGCUUAGUGGCGCACGGGUGCGUAACGCGUGGGAAUCUGCCCUUGGGUUCGGAAUAACAGUGGGAAACUACUGCUAAUACCGAAUGAUGUCGUAAGACCAAAGAUUUAUCGCCCAGGGAUGAGCCCGCGUAGGAUUAGCUAGUUGGUGUGGUAAAGGCGCACCAAGGCGACGAUCCUUAGCUGGCUGAGAGGAUGAUCAGCCACACUGGGACUGAGACACGGCCCAGACUCCUACGGGAGGCAGCAGUGGGAAUAUUGGACAAUGGCGAAAGCCUGAUCCAGCAAUGCCGCGUGAGUGAUGAAGGCCUUAGGGUUGUAAAGCUC